This 366-nucleotide ribosomal RNA is filed under the name uncultured bacterium. RNAcentral describes it as "bacterial SSU rRNA". It matches the Rfam family "Bacterial small subunit ribosomal RNA", at positions 29 to 394 of the family's 1533-position model. The record is from RNAcentral.
AUUGAACGCUGGCGGAAUGCUUUACACAUGCAAGUCGAGCGGCAGCGCGGGGGCAACCCUGGCGGCGAGCGGCGAACGGGUGAGUAAUACAUCGGAACGUGUCCUUAAGUGGGGGAUAGCUCGGCGAAAGCCGGAUUAAUACCGCAUAAGCUCUGAGGAGGAAAGCGGGGGCUCCGUAAGGACCUCGCGCUGUUGGAGCGGCCGAUGUCGGAUUAGCUAGUUGGUGGGGUAAAGGCCCACCAAGGCGACGAUCCGUAGCUGGUCUGAGAGGAUGAUCAGCCACACUGGAACUGAGACACGGUCCAGACUCCUACGGGAGGCAGCAGUGGGGAAUUUUGGACAAUGGGGGCAACCCUGAUCCAGCCA